AUUGAACGCUGGCGGCAUGCCUUUACACAUGCAAGUCGAACGGUAACGCGGGGCAACCUGGCGACGAGUGGCGAACGGGUGAGUAAUACAUCGGAACGUGCCCAGUAGUGGGGGAUAGCCCGGCGAAAGCCGGAUUAAUACCACAUACGACCUACGGGUGAAAGCAGGGGGAUCGCAAGACCUUGCGCUAUUGGAGCGGCCGAUGUCAGAUUAGGUAGUUGGUGGGGUAAAAGCCUACCAAGCCUACGAUCUGUAGCUGGUCUGAGAGGACGACCAGCCACACUGGGACUGAGACACGGCCCAGACUCCUACGGGAGGCAGCAGUGGGGAAUUUUUGGACAAUGGGCGCAAGCCUGAUCCAGCCAUGCCGCGU
Molecule: ribosomal RNA, 373 nt
Filed under: uncultured bacterium
Lineage: Bacteria
Description: bacterial SSU rRNA
Rfam family: Bacterial small subunit ribosomal RNA
Source: RNAcentral